GUGUGUUCUCUGAGCACCUCGUGACCUUGCUGGGAGUGUGUCUGAUCAGCCGCUUCCCUUGUGACCAAAUAUUUGGUCAUGGCAGCAGGAGAGAAUUCCAUCAGUGGACAGCUCUAUUUUUAAGGCUCUGGCUUUGUUUUCUCUUUCCUGAGAGGCAGUCCCUGCAGCAGGCUUGAGCCUCUCUCACUGACAGCCUGCCUCGCAUAAUGUUAAGCAGGCAUCGGACACUUGCUGGAAGGCAGGGAAUUGCAAUGAAAGAGCACGGAGGUGAGAAGCUGUGCUCCUUGGGGUGAAGGCAGCUUCUGUGCUCCUGGGAUCUACUGUUAAGCCAGGGUGACGCCAGCUUGCAUGCUACCGGAGGGGAAGAGAAAAUUUGGACACACAGGGAGAAAACCACAGGGAGGAGAUGGCCAUCUACAAUUCCAGAAAAGCAGCCUCAGAAGAAACCAAUCUGCAAACAUCUUUAUCUGCAACUCCCUGCCUCCCAAAUGGAGUAAAGAGACAGAAAGGGAAUGAAUUUCCAAGAAGACCAGCGUA
Molecule: long non-coding RNA, 537 nt
Organism: Homo sapiens (human)
Lineage: Eukaryota; Metazoa; Chordata; Mammalia; Primates; Hominidae
Product: long intergenic non-protein coding RNA 906
Source: Ensembl